Molecule: unclassified non-coding RNA, 424 nt
Filed under: soil metagenome
Description: partial contains 5.8S ribosomal RNA, internal transcribed spacer 2, and large subunit ribosomal RNA
Rfam family: 5.8S ribosomal RNA (bases 1-119)
Source: RNAcentral
GAUGAAGAACGCAGUGAAAUGCGAUAAGUAGUGUGAAUUGCAGAAUUCUGGAAUCAUCGAAUCUUUGAACGCACAUUGCGCCUUCUGGUAUUCCGGAAGGCAUGCCUGUUCGAGAGUCAUUAACAACCGUUUCGAUCCCUUUCUUUCAGAAAUUACAAAGAGGAAAAGGGUUUGGUUAUGGUGGAGGAGGGAAAGGGAGCGUUUAGCCUGUAAAAAAAGAGGCUGUGUUCCGCCUCCCCCCCAAAAUUGUACAGGCGGUCGUGUGCGCCCACGCAUCGAGGUGUUGUAAAAGCUGCCACGGCACUUUUCACCUGUGCAGUGCGAGAUUGGCCAGCCGGUUUAAAAACCCCUCCAAACAAUCAAAGGUUGACCUCGGAUCAGGUAGGGAUACCCGCUGAACUUAAGCAUAUCAAUAAGCGGAGGA